UUUCUCCAAACUUUCAACACUCAGCUCUCAUUAUUCCCACUCUCUACUGCUCUCAAAUUCUCAAUUUCUCCAGUCUUUGAACUGACCCAAUGCCGCAAAAAAAUGGGUUCUUGUAAAUAUUUCUUCAAUUUCAAGGAUGUGAUUAGACUUAAAGGAUUUUGGAAGGAAUCAGUAUUCACGAUCGCAAUUUCUUUGUAUAAUUUAAGGUGGUGUCUCCACACUCAUAGGUCACAGUACCUAACCACACAGUAAGAGCAUACCGCGAUCAACUAGAUCGCGCUUCGGAAGGGAGAUUUGUCUUCACUCCCUAGGAUGACUUUUUGAACCACCUCCCGUUGUACUGCAAGGCCAGGGCUAGUAUAUGGACAGCUCAUGUGCCGCUCAUUUUCUACCACGUCAUUGAGCACCAUUACCCAGAGCGAUUUUGCAGGCAGUUUCGUGCCUUGCAAGAUGUACCUAGCUCCGCCGGUCCAGUACUCGCAACAAUUGCACGACAUGGACCAGCGUGGGAAAACAGGCACCGACUGGGCCCUAAAACAUGACCAGUAUGUAACUAACUAGAACGGGCGUCAGUGACAUCUAGUGGAUAUGAAUUUGACUGCUGGUCCACAGGCCACUGACAACUACCGCGCUUGGUACUACUUGCAUGGUCAUCGAGUCAUCGGUAACCCCAUGCAUCAGCACAAUGUGGGUUAUGUGCAGUGUGCAUCAUCACUAAACCAGGCGAUGCAUGCUCUUCACCAGAUGAACAUCCGCGGGACUGCAGCUGUCAACAAUCCCGAUGAGGACCACGCUGCAGCCUUAAUGGAAUUGAAUGAUAUCUCGCAGCUGGCAUUGAUGGGCAGCGACUAUGAGUACUUGAUGUACAUCACGCCUGAAGUUCUACAAAAUGCUCCCAUGCCGGAUGAGCCAAUACCCCCUCAACCCAGGGAUGCACGCCGACAUAGGGAACACUUGCGCGGUGGUCCACGAAGGGGUGGUCGGGGUAGACGCGCAAUAAACAUUGCGCUGCAAGAGCAAAUGGCUCAUGCGGCUCAACAAUAGCAUCAAGCACCGGCAGCCGAAGCGGAUGAGGCUGAUAAUGAUGGGGAUGAUGAUGGGGAUGACGGUCACAACAUUGAUGAGCACGGUGCAUUAGCUAUUGUG
Long non-coding RNA from Ipomoea triloba (trilobed morning glory), 1146 nucleotides. RefSeq lists it as uncharacterized. The record is from RefSeq and is a predicted model, not a curated record. The transcript is spliced from 5 exons. Lineage: Eukaryota; Viridiplantae; Streptophyta; Magnoliopsida; Solanales; Convolvulaceae.